UUAGGCAAAUCCGGUACUCGUUAAGGCUGAGCUGUGAUGGGGAGAAGACAUUGUGUCUUCGAGUCGUUGAUUUCACACUGCCGAGAAAAGCCUCUAGAUAGAAAAUAGGUGCCCGUACCGCAAACCGACACAGGUAGUCAAGAUGAGAAUUCUAAGGUGAGCGAGCGAACUCUCGUUAAGGAACUCGGCAAAAUGACCCCGUAACUUCGGGAGAAGGGGUGCUCUUUAGGGUUAACGCCCAGAAGAGCCGCAGUGAAUAGGCCCAAGCGACUGUUUAUCAAAAACACAGGUCUCUGCUAAACCGUAAGGUGAUGUAUAGGGGCUGACGCCUGCCCGGUGCUGGAAGGUUAAGAGGAGUGGUUAGCUUCUGCGAAGCUACGAAUCGAAGCCCCAGUAAACGGCGGCCGUAACUAUAACGGUCCUAAGGUAGCGAAAUUCCUUGUCGGGUAAGUUCCGACCCGCACGAAAGGCGUAACGAUUUGGGCACUGUCUCAACGAGAGACUCGGUGAAAUCAUAGUACCUGUGAAGAUGCAGGUUACCCGCGACAGGACGGAAAGACCCCGUGGAGCUUUACUGUAGCCUGAUAUUGAAAUUCGGCACAGCUUGUACAGGAUAGGUAGGAGCCUUUGAAACGUGAGCGCUAGCUUACGUGGAGGCGCUGGUGGG
RNAcentral lists this ribosomal RNA (667 nucleotides) under Staphylococcus aureus. RNAcentral describes it as "partial 23S ribosomal RNA". It matches the Rfam family "Bacterial large subunit ribosomal RNA", at positions 1532 to 2196 of the family's 2925-position model. The record is from RNAcentral. Lineage: Bacteria; Bacillati; Bacillota; Bacilli; Caryophanales; Staphylococcaceae.